RNAcentral lists this ribosomal RNA (301 nucleotides) under uncultured bacterium. RNAcentral describes it as "partial 16S ribosomal RNA". It matches the Rfam family "Bacterial small subunit ribosomal RNA", at positions 509 to 808 of the family's 1533-position model. The record is from RNAcentral.
CAGCCGCCGCGGUAAUACAGAGGGUGCGAGCGUUAAUCGGAUUUACUGGGCGUAAAGCGUGCGUAGGCGGCUUCUUAAGUCGGAUGUGAAAUCCCUGAGCUUAACUAGGAAUUGCAUUCGAUACUGGGAAGCUAGAGUAUGGGAGAGGAUGGUAGAAUUCCAGGUGUAGCGGUAAAAUGCGUAGAGAUCUGGAGGAAUACCGAUGGCGAAGGCAGCCAUCUGGCCUAAUACUGACGCUGAGGUACGAAAGCAUGGGGAGCAAACAGGAUUAGAUACCCCCGUAGUCCCUGUCUCUUAUACA